This 404-nucleotide ribosomal RNA is filed under the name uncultured bacterium. RNAcentral's name for it is "bacterial SSU rRNA". It matches the Rfam family "Bacterial small subunit ribosomal RNA", at positions 976 to 1380 of the family's 1533-position model. The record is from RNAcentral.
UGGCCUUGACAUCUACGGAAUCCUGCAGAGAUGCGGGAGUGCCUUCGGGAACCGUAAGACAGGUGCUGCAUGGCUGUCGUCAGCUCGUGUCGUGAGAUGUUGGGUUAAGUCCCGCAACGAGCGCAACCCUUGUCCUUAGUUGCCAUCAUUCAGUUGGGAACUCUAAGGAGACCGCCGGUGACAAACCGGAGGAAGGUGGGGAUGACGUCAAGUCAUCAUGGCCUUUAUGGCCAGGGCUACACACGUGCUACAAUGGCAGGUACAGAGGGAAGCCAACUCGCGAGAGGGAGCCAAUCCCAGAAAGCCUGUCGUAGUCCGGAUCGGAGUCUGCAACUCGACUCUGUGAAGUCGGAAUCGCUAGUAAUCGCAGAUCAGCAUUGCUGCGGUGAAUACGUUCCCGGGCC